This 1389-nucleotide long non-coding RNA is filed under the name Bemisia tabaci. RNAcentral's name for it is "lncRNA ENSSSA1UGG005001". The record is from RNAcentral. Lineage: Eukaryota; Metazoa; Arthropoda; Insecta; Hemiptera; Aleyrodidae.
AUGCGAAUUUGUCGGCGGUGUGAAUCUUUGUCUGUCUCGUCGACGGAAGUUCCCGACACAUGCACCGGUGAGAAGAUGUUUUCGGGGCGAGGACAGACAGUGACUGAGCGAGCGAGCGGGCCGCCCGCCGUCUCCAGCGACCGCGGCGCGCCGCGGUCGCGGGAGACGCGCGACACGUGGGGCACGCCACAAACACCUUGCUCGCGCCUUCAACUGGGGUAUCCGGCAACCCGCACGGCACACACCGCGCUUCGGCUCUGGGACUUUUCCAGCCGACGCGCCACAGGCCACAGGCGGGAUUCACCCGUAGGACCGGUGGACUUCGUGGAAUUUUGUGGUCAUGUAUUCUCCCUAUCUACGAAACUCACUAAAACUUUCUAAGAUAUUGCUUGGAAAGUUUUCUGGUAAAAAAAAGUGAGAUGCGAUUGGAAAUUUGGCAAUGUUAGAUGUAGUUAAACUGUUCCUAGUUAAAUCCGUCCAUAUUAUUAGAAGCAAAGGCAACCAUCUUUUAUCCUUCACUAAGUCAAACGGACUUAGUCAGAAUUAAUGAGUCCUAUUUCUUUGACAAAAACAAAUUUCGGCUCUAUAUCUGAUAAAAGCAGUACGAGUUUAGAGAGGACAUGAACUCAAAACAAUUGUAAUACACUUAAAGUAAAACUACUCCCCAUAAAUGUUAGCAAAAUAUGGAAAACCCGUCACUUUUGUAAAUUUUUUUUUUAUCUUUGGUAAAACCCGCACAUGACAACCUACUUCGGAACAAAAUAAAUUUUUUGAAAGGCAAACACACGUCACGCAGUUAUACCCUAUGCAUUUUAUACCAAACACUUUUGGGAGGUUUAUAGAGUAACAAUUUAUAUACUUUUUAUGAUUCAACGAAAAACAAAUUGAUAGCGGUAACAGUGAAAAUGUUAAAGGUAGUUCCUACUUAGCUUCAACAUUUCGUCAUAUUUUUAAUGUCUAAAAUUCAUAAACUUAGCGCGCUCUGGUUUUUCUAGGAGUCGCCGCGAAAACGUAUCAAUUGCGGCAUGUGUGUUGGUUAUUUUACUGUGAAUUAAUUUAAGAACCGUUUCGACACGAACACAUGUAUCCAAAUAAUUUGAAAUCUUUGAAGUGCAUUAAAACUUAUGUCACAACUUUUAAUUGGCAAUUUACGAUCCGUUUAAACUUACUGGUCAAAGGAAGGAGCUACAUAGGAGGAAAACAAGAUGAUAAGCAUUAAAAUGUCAACUGUCAUACACCGCCGUUUUCAUGAGUUUACCAUGGAUGAUAAGGUAAAAUUAUUAGAGGAGUGGUAACGGUGAGCCAUGACCCACUGUUAAGCGUCAGACAGCGCACAAUGACUGUUUUUGUUACAUGUUUGCAUCAUCCCUAUUAAUCACAGUACAUCUU